AUAAUGUGACUAUAUUCAGUUUCCGACCUAUCACCCUUAAACAGGAAGGUUGGGCCUACCGCGGGUGGACGGGUAACGGGGAACUAAGGAUUGAUUCCGUAGAGGGAACCUGAAAAACGGCUACCACAUCUAACGAAGGCAGCAGGCGCGCAAAUUACCCAAUCCUAAUACAGGGAGGUAGUGACAAGAAAUAACAAUACAGGACUUUUUGGUUUUGUAAUUGGAAUGAGUUAAGUAUAAACCCCUUUACAAGUAUCAAUUGGAGGGCAAGUCUGGUGCCAGCAGCCGCGGUAAUUCCAGCUCCAAUAGCGUAAUAUCGUAUA
Molecule: ribosomal RNA, 323 nt
Filed under: Cryptosporidium parvum
Lineage: Eukaryota; Apicomplexa; Conoidasida; Eucoccidiorida; Cryptosporidiidae
Description: SSU rRNA
Rfam family: Eukaryotic small subunit ribosomal RNA
Source: RNAcentral